AGGGUUGGCCGGGCAAUCGCGGGCAGCGUCUGCUGUCUGAGGAAAGUCCGCGCUCCAAUGAGCACGGUGCCGGGUAACACCCGGGCGGAGUAAUCCGCGGAUAGGGCCACAGAAACAAACCGCCCCAACGGGUAAGGGUGAAAAGGUGGUGUAAGAGACCACCGGGAUCGGCAGUAAUGUCGAUUUCCAGGCAACCCCCACUGGGAGCAAAGCCAAACAGGAGCGAAGUCCGUACGUGGACGAGAAGCUGCUCGCGUCUCUCGAGCUCCGGGUGGGCUGCACGAGCGCCACGGUAACGUGGCGCCUAGAUGGAUGAUUGCCGAAGUGCAGGGAGGCUCUUUCGAGCGCCAACCAGCACGGGACAGAACGCGGCUUACAGGCCGAUCCUGAGU
RNAcentral lists this RNase P RNA (392 nucleotides) under Anaerolineales bacterium. Its description in RNAcentral is "RNase P RNA component class A". It matches the Rfam family "Bacterial RNase P class A". From Rfam's summary of the family: Ribonuclease P (RNase P) is a ubiquitous endoribonuclease, found in archaea, bacteria and eukarya as well as chloroplasts and mitochondria. The record is from RNAcentral. Lineage: Bacteria; Bacillati; Chloroflexota; Anaerolineae; Anaerolineales.